This 448-nucleotide ribosomal RNA is filed under the name uncultured bacterium. Its description in RNAcentral is "bacterial SSU rRNA". It matches the Rfam family "Bacterial small subunit ribosomal RNA", at positions 355 to 825 of the family's 1533-position model. The record is from RNAcentral.
UGGGGAAUCUUGGACAAUGGGCGCAAGCCUGAUCCAGCCAUGCCGCGUGGAUGAUGAAGGCCUUAGGGUUGUAAAAUCCUUUCGUUGGGGACGAUAAUGACGGUACCCAAAGAAGAAGCUCCGGCUAACUUCGUGCCAGCAGCCGCGGUAAUACGUAGGGUGCGAGCGUUAAUCGGAAUUACUGGGCGUAAAGCGUGCGCAGGCGGCUUUGCAAGACAGAUGUGAAAUCCCCGGGCUCAACCUGGGAACUGCAUUUGUGACUGCAAGGCUAGAGUACGGUAGAGGGGGGAUGGAAUUCCGCGUGUAGCAGUGAAAUGCGUAGAUAUGCGGAGGAACACCGAUGGCGAAGGCAAUCCCCUGGACCUGUACUGACGCUCAUGCACGAAAGCGUGGGGAGCAAACAGGAUUAGAUACCCCAGUAGUCCCUGAGCGGGCUGGCAAGGCGCAU